AAGCAUCCUUGCAGUUUGGUUUGGAAUCUUACAUUUUUUUGCUGUUCAGAACAAAAAGUUCCCAAUUACAAAAAGCUGCUAAAUCCUCCCUCUCUCUUUCUCUCUCUGCCUGGCUGCUUUGAAACAACAGCCUCCAGCAGAAGUUAAGAGUUAUAAUUUGGCUUAUUCAUCAGGUAGGAUCAGCCAACAGUCCCAAAUUAAAGCCAAUUAACGUUUUCACCUGGUGAGCAUCAAGGGAUGUUUUCUCACUUUGCAGACACCUCUGUUUGAUGUGGAUUCCAUCGGCUUUGGCUGCACUAGGGAACAAAGCUGGCCACUCCACUGGAAAUGCCUUUUAAAUUUCGUCACUGGCCAACUAUGCAAAACACACACACACACACACACCCCUCUUUAUCCCUCUUAAUUUAUGCCACCGAGGAUGCAAACCGCAGAGAGCUAAAAGGGGACAAGCAAACAUCCGGAAGCAAAUACGGUCCCUGAAUCUCACUCCUUUCCAGCAGGGCUGUUCUGCCUUCGGUCCUUCUUCCUCUCCACCUUGCUUCCUUUCAGUCUUGUACGCUUUUGGAUUCCCGCCUGAGCAGCGCUUACAAAGGCCGCGGGCUCAUGUUUGUGCUGAGCCAGUUGCUCGUAUCUUCUUCCAACAGGGAGGCAAACAAAACAAGGCGGCCGGCCGCAUCCAAACACAAACUGUGUCCUUGCGGCGUCACUGGGUCUGUUUCUUUGCUUGUUUCUCUAUGAAGAAUAAAUCCGGCAAGAUUAUUGCUAGUGGGAGGCACAUGGAAGGAGAAAUAGCACUACACAAGAAGCAUCAGCUGCAGAGCCCUGAUCCUGCAUGGUGGAAUGCAGGCUCCCUUAUUUCUUUCUCUGAUUUAUUUACUUGAACUAUUUUUAUCCUGCCUUUCUCCUUUAAAAAAGAACCUGAGGUGGCUUACAGAAUUAUUAACACAAUAUCAUCUCUGAUUUAUUUACUUGAACUAUUUUUACCCAGCCUAUCUCCUUUAAAAAGCUCCAGAGGUGGCUUAC
This 1023-nucleotide long non-coding RNA is filed under the name Pogona vitticeps (central bearded dragon). RNAcentral describes it as "lncRNA (ENSPVIG00000015858.1)". The record is from RNAcentral. Lineage: Eukaryota; Metazoa; Chordata; Lepidosauria; Squamata; Agamidae.